This 262-nucleotide ribosomal RNA is filed under the name uncultured prokaryote. RNAcentral describes it as "partial 16S ribosomal RNA". It matches the Rfam family "Bacterial small subunit ribosomal RNA", at positions 524 to 784 of the family's 1533-position model. The record is from RNAcentral.
UACGUAAGGAGCAAGCGUUGUCCGGAAUUACUGGGCGUAAAGAGCUCGUAGGUGGUUUGUCGCGUCGUCUGUGAAAUUCCGGGGCUUAACUUCGGGCGUGCAGGCGAUACGGGCAAUACUUGAGUGCUGUAGGGGAGACUGGAAUUCCUGGUGUAGCGGUGGAAUGCGCAGAUAUCAGGAGGAACACCGAUGGCGAAGGCAGGUCUCUGGGCAGUAACUGACGCUGAGGAGCGAAAGCAUGGGUAGCGAACAGGAUUAGAUA